This is a long non-coding RNA of Coturnix japonica (Japanese quail), 1547 nucleotides long. Lineage: Eukaryota; Metazoa; Chordata; Aves; Galliformes; Phasianidae. The record is from Ensembl.
CCCGGCUCGAGCCGCGCGGGGCUCCGGGCGGGUGGAGGCGGAGCGACCCUCGGGAGAGCCGGGCACGCGGAGGUCCCGAGGGGCGGUGGGUGGGUGCUGAGCUUGGCCGAGGACCGUGCGAGUUGUGCAGGUGCGGAGUGGGAGCCCACCUGUGCCCACCUGUGCCUUCGGUGGGAAGGACUGCACGAGCUUCUCCGCUUGUCUGCUCUGAAGUGCCCGAAUUUCUGAUGUCAGCGAUGUUCUCGCCUUUUGUUUUUCCCACGCAGAACAGAUCUGCACUUUCUGGUGGGGAGAAAUGGUGCGCAUCCAUCCAGCCACCUUUAGCCGCAGCUCUUCGAAGUUAACCAGAACUCGUGCAAAAACUCUAGUGGGGACUGUACUCGUGCCUGCACCAGCUGUCCCUCCCCACUCACACUCUGUACCUCCAAACCUGAAAGCCGGGCCACAUUCUGAGCAGCCUAAUGCAUGGCCGAUCCCCGUUCAGCAAGGAGUUUGGUUGUCAGGACCCUCCCUUCAAUUUUCCUCCAUGCACGCAGUGUUUGACUGAUUUCCUACCACAUGGCAGGGAGAAGCACAGACAGCUCUCACCCAAGCAAGGCUUUGCGGCCAUCCUGCCUCACCUGCUGCUCAGGCCUCAUUCCACAUGGGAUGCCACGCACUUCAGCUUCCAGCCCAUCACACUGCCAUGAAAAGCUGCUUUGGACUGGCUCAGAGCUCUAAGCAGAGCCCAGUUCCUUUACUCUUUCAUCUAUAGUAACUAUGGUUUGGUGGCCCAUCUGUCAGCAGCCUCUAAUCUGUUGGGAUAAGUGAGGUGAGGCUUUCUUCCUCCUCCAGAAGGGGUUUUGUGUGCUCUGAGUCCCACUGCAAAUAUACAAUAGAAGCUAAAAUGGUUCUUCCAAAAACAAUGACGAUCUGCAGUCUUGGUCUCAUAAGCAUCUCUGAAAUGUUGUGCUUAAAAAGACACUGAUUAAGGCUACAAAUGAAAGCAUAGAUUACUUAAUACAACAGAAUGAAUUCUUAAUUCCAGCUAAAAAAAGAAUCCUCAGUACUUUGAUAUCAAGGGCUUUUAGGCUUCAAAAGCCUGAGCCUUUGGAUCCUGGGACAAAAGAGACCUUAAACAAGGUCUGUCUGUUUUCCUGUUGGUACACUCAUGCUGCCAGCAUCUAUCAAUAGGAAAGUCAUGGUUUGCUGCACUUCCCAAACAGGAACUGUUGUUCAUAGUGAUCCCAGCAUCUACCAGAAAGGAACUUUCUGCCUCAUGUUUCUGUACAAGCUGGUACUGCUCCAUGGUAAGUGCUGCUAUUUGGAGGAAAGCUCCAGAUUCAGACACAUUCAGAUCUUCUCAUUGCCACAGAGCAGCCAACAUGGACACACUUGAGGUUUCUCCUUGGCUUGGGCACCAUCCCACAGCAUGCUCAACAGAAGACCAUAUGACUUCGGGACCAUAGGAGCCCAAGAAAAAGACAACUCACCCCUCCCUUGUAUGCACUAUCACCAUCCUCCACAAUUUAUUUCAAUAAUAUCACACUCAGUGGAAUAGAAAACUG